RNAcentral lists this ribosomal RNA (303 nucleotides) under uncultured bacterium. RNAcentral's name for it is "partial 16S ribosomal RNA". It matches the Rfam family "Bacterial small subunit ribosomal RNA", at positions 507 to 807 of the family's 1533-position model. The record is from RNAcentral.
AGCAGUCGCCGCGGUAAUACGUAGGGUGCGAGCGUUAAUCGGAAUUACUGGGCGUAAAGCGUGCGCAGGCGGUUUUGUAAGACAGGCGUGAAAUCCCCGGGCUCAACCUGGGAAUGGCGCUUGUGACUGCAAAGCUAGAGUGCGGCAGAGGGGGAUGGAAUUCCGCGUGUAGCAGUGAAAUGCGUAGAUAUGCGGAGGAACACCGAUGGCGAAGGCAAUCCCCUGGGCCUGCACUGACGCUCAUGCACGAAAGCGUGGGGAGCAAACAGGAUUAGAUACCCCCGUAGUCCCUGUCUCUUAUAC